This 219-nucleotide unclassified non-coding RNA is filed under the name Hevea brasiliensis (rubber tree). The record is from RNAcentral. Lineage: Eukaryota; Viridiplantae; Streptophyta; Magnoliopsida; Malpighiales; Euphorbiaceae.
CGGGGGGAUAGUGUAGCACAGCCACAAAAGCGUCUUGUUGGACAAUUGACCGAAUUUUGGCAUAUGAGUGAUUUUAGCAUAAUGUUUUCAAAGUUACGGAAUUUUUUGGUGACAAAAUGAAGAUGAGGGAAGGAACUAAAACACCCUCCAAGUUGAGGGACAACUGGUAAAAAUUAGUCGAUGGCAUUGCUCCUAGCAACCACGAGGUGUAUCCCAGCU